RNAcentral lists this transfer RNA (71 nucleotides) under Patescibacteria group bacterium. Its description in RNAcentral is "tRNA-Lys". It matches the Rfam family "tRNA". From Rfam's summary of the family: Transfer RNA (tRNA) molecules are approximately 80 nucleotides in length. Their secondary structure includes four short double-helical elements and three loops (D, anti-codon, and T loops). The record is from RNAcentral.
GCCCCGUUAGCUCAGUGGUAGAGCAGUUGGCUUUUAACCAAUUGAUGAGGGUUCGAUUCCCCCACGGGGUA